RNAcentral lists this ribosomal RNA (484 nucleotides) under uncultured bacterium. RNAcentral's name for it is "partial 16S ribosomal RNA". It matches the Rfam family "Bacterial small subunit ribosomal RNA", at positions 30 to 507 of the family's 1533-position model. The record is from RNAcentral.
AUUGAACGCUGGCGGCAGGCCUAACACAUGCAAGUCGAGCGGAUGAAGGGAGCUUGCUCCUGGAUUCAGCGGCGGACGGGUGAGUAAUGCCUAGGAAUCUGCCUGGUAGUGGGGGAUAACGUCCGGAAACGGGCGCUAAUACCGCAUACGUCCUGAGGGAGAAAGUGGGGGUUCUUCGGACCUCACGCUAUCAGAUGAGCCUAGGUCGGAUUAGCUAGUUGGUGGGGUAAAGGCCUACCAAGGCGACGAUCCGUAACUGGUCUGAGAGGAUGAUCAGUCACACUGGAACUGAGACACGGUCCAGACUCCUACGGGAGGCAGCAGUAGGGAAUAUUGGACAAUGGGCGAAAGCCUGACCCAGCCAUGCCGCGUGUGUGAAGAAGGUCUUCGGAUUGUAAAGCACUUUUAGUUGGGAGGAAGGACAGUAAGUUAAUACCUUGCUGUUUUGACGUUACCAACAGAGUAAGCACCGGCUAACUUCGUG